CCUACGGGAUGCAGCAGUCGAGAAUCAUUCACAAUGGGGGAAACCCUGAUGGUGCGACGCCGCGUGGGGGAAUGAAGGUCUUCGGAUUGUACACCCCUGUCAUGUGGGAGCAAAUUAAAAAGAUAGUACCACAAGAGGAAGAGACGUCUAACUCUGUGCCAGCCGCCGCGGUAAUACAGGGGUCUCAAGCGUUGUUCGGAAUCACUGGGCGUAAAGCGUGCGUAGGCUGUUUCGUAAGUCGUGUGUGAAAGGCGCGGGCUCAACCCGCGGACGGCACAUGAUACUGCGAGACUAGAGUAAUGGAGGGGGAACCGGAAUUCUCGGGGUAGCAGUGAAAUGCGUAGAUAUCGAGAGGAACACUCGUGGCGAAGGCGGGUUCCUGGACAUUAACUGACGCUGAGGCACGAAGGCCAGGGGAGCGAAAGGGAUUAGAUACCCCUGUAGUC
RNAcentral lists this ribosomal RNA (446 nucleotides) under uncultured bacterium. RNAcentral describes it as "partial 16S ribosomal RNA". It matches the Rfam family "Bacterial small subunit ribosomal RNA", at positions 338 to 795 of the family's 1533-position model. The record is from RNAcentral.